AACCUUACCUACCCUUGACAUGGUCGGAAUCCUGAAGAGAUUCGGGAGUGCUCGAAAGAGAACCGGCGCACAGGUGCUGCAUGGCUGUCGUCAGCUCGUGUCGUGAGAUGUUGGGUUAAGUCCCGCAACGAGCGCAACCCUUGUCCUUAGUUGCUACGCAAGAGCACUCUAAGGAGACUGCCGGUGACAAACCGGAGGAAGGUGGGGAUGACGUCAAGUCCUCAUGGCCCUUAUGGGUAGGGCUUCACACGUCAUACAAUGGUCGGAACUGAGGGUUGCCAACCCGCGAGGGGGAGCUAAUCCCAGAAAACCCUCCUAUCCGGAUUGCACUCUGCAACUCGAGUGCAUGAAGCUGGAAUCGCUAGUAAUCGCGGAU
RNAcentral lists this ribosomal RNA (376 nucleotides) under Burkholderia sp. FES10. Its description in RNAcentral is "bacterial SSU rRNA". It matches the Rfam family "Bacterial small subunit ribosomal RNA", at positions 967 to 1349 of the family's 1533-position model. The record is from RNAcentral. Lineage: Bacteria; Pseudomonadati; Pseudomonadota; Betaproteobacteria; Burkholderiales; Burkholderiaceae.